GGACAGAUGACCGAGCGGCUGAAGGUGCAGCACUGGAAAUGCUGUGUACGCCUUGUGCGUACCGUGGGUUCGAAUCCCACUCUGUCCG
Molecule: transfer RNA, 88 nt
Filed under: Phycisphaerales bacterium
Lineage: Bacteria; Pseudomonadati; Planctomycetota; Phycisphaerae; Phycisphaerales
Description: tRNA-Ser
Rfam family: tRNA
About the family: Transfer RNA (tRNA) molecules are approximately 80 nucleotides in length. Their secondary structure includes four short double-helical elements and three loops (D, anti-codon, and T loops).
Source: RNAcentral